AGAGUUUGAUCCUGGCUCAGAGUUAACGCUGGCGGCGUGCCUAACACAUGCAAGUCGAGCGAAGAGUACCAGAGUACCGGGCUCUUGGCGGCAGACGGGUGAGUAAUACUUAAACAAUCUGCCCUCGAAUGGGAGACAACCAAGCGAAAGUUUGGCUAAUACCCCAUACAAUCCUCUUGAGGCAUCUCAAGGGGAUGAAAGGCCCGCAAGGGUCGUUCGAGGAGGAGUUUGAGUCCUAUCAGCUAGUAGGCGGUGUAACAGACCACCAAGGCUAUGACGGGUAGCCGAUCUAAAAGGAUGACCGGCCACAAGGGCACUGAGACACGGGCCCUACUCCUACGGGAGGCAGCAGUGGGGAAUUUUGGACAAUGGACGAAAGUCUGAUCCAGCGACGCCGCGUGAAGGACGAAGGUUUUCGGAUCGUAAACUUCUUUUACAGGGGACGAAUACGCGCAAGCGUUUGACGGUACUCUGCGAAUAAGCCACGGCUAACUACGUGCCAGCAGCCGCGGUA
RNAcentral lists this ribosomal RNA (514 nucleotides) under uncultured bacterium. RNAcentral's name for it is "bacterial SSU rRNA". It matches the Rfam family "Bacterial small subunit ribosomal RNA", at positions 8 to 522 of the family's 1533-position model. The record is from RNAcentral.